GACGAACGCUGGCGGCGUGCUUAACACAUGCAAGUCGAACGGAAAGGCCCUGCUUUUGUGGGGUGCUCGAGUGGCGAACGGGUGAGUAACACGUGAGUAACCUGCCCUUGACUUUGGGAUAACUUCAGGAAACUGGGGCUAAUACCGGAUAGGAGCUCCUGCUGCAUGGUGGGGGUUGGAAAGUUUCGGCGGUUGGGGAUGGACUCGCGGCUUAUCAGCUUGUUGGUGGGGUAGUGGCUUACCAAGGCUUUGACGGGUAGCCGGCCUGAGAGGGUGACCGGCCACAUUGGGACUGAGAUACGGCCCAGACUCCUACGGGAGGCAGCAGUGGGGAAUAAUGCACAAUGGGCGGAAGCCUGAUGCAGCAACGCCGCGUGCGGGAUGACGGCCUUCGGGUUGUAAACCGCUUUCGCCUGUGACGGAGCGUGAGUGACGGUAAUGGGUAAAGAAGCACCGGCUAACUACGUG
Molecule: ribosomal RNA, 468 nt
Filed under: uncultured bacterium
Lineage: Bacteria
Description: partial 16S ribosomal RNA
Rfam family: Bacterial small subunit ribosomal RNA
Source: RNAcentral